AAGACCUUGCGCUUUUGGAGCGGCCGAUGCCUGAUUAGCUGGUUGGUGGGGUAAUGGCCUACCAAAGCUUCGAUCAGUAGCUGGUCUGAGAGGACGGCCAGCCACACUGGGACUGAGACACGGCCCAGACUCCUACGGGAGGCAGCAGUGGGGAAUUUUGGACAAUGGGCGCAAGCCUGAUCCAGCCAUGCCGCGUGAGUGAAGAAGGCCUUCGGGUUGUAAAGCUCUUUCAGCCGGGAAGAAAAGGUUGCGAUUAAUAAUCGCAAUUUAUGACGGUACCGGAAGAAGAAGCACCGGCUAACUACGUGCCAGCAGCCGCGGUAAUACGUAGGGUGCGAGCGUUAAUCGGAAUUACUGGGCGUAAAGGGUGCGCAGGCGGUUUUGUAAGUCAGAUGUGAAAUCCCCGGGCUUAACCUGGGAACU
RNAcentral lists this ribosomal RNA (423 nucleotides) under uncultured bacterium. Its description in RNAcentral is "bacterial SSU rRNA". It matches the Rfam family "Bacterial small subunit ribosomal RNA", at positions 207 to 622 of the family's 1533-position model. The record is from RNAcentral.